UGCCAGUGUCCCUCUAGGUGGAAGCCCAGGAAGGUGCCCUUCCUCCUCAAGUGCCAAGGCUGGCUGGUCGUCCUGGUACAUCCCUGCAGGGGAGAACAUGAGCAGUUAAUUGGAUAAAUAAGAACGGUGAUCAUACCUAUACCUUGAGUGGGCUGAAUGGUUCAUACCAACCGGAACCGACAAGAGAAUCUGAUCCUCUUGAUUAUGUAUCGGAACACUCUCUCCCUUUUGGGAUGUUUACUUGGGAAGAUGAAUGAUACAGAGGCAGUUACUUGGUAAGCUCAAGACUAGAACAAAGGGACUCAUCUAUAUGAGCCCUUAAUGGCUGCUGUCACCAACUUAUCUUUAUCUUCGUUUUGGGGUUUACCUGCCUUACUGGUCGUAUAUUCAGGUACACAAGUUGGGGUACCCUCUGCCCUGGACAUGGUGGGAGCUGCUGCCCGCUCUUCUCUUGCUGAACUUCCAUCUCUUAAUGCUGCUGGGACUCUCUAUUUCUAGCAACACCUGCAUCUUUGGACUUAAAGAUUUAAUUCAAUUACUUAGGCAUCUGAGUUUCCUGGUUGCAGUCUCUGAGGUUAUGUCCAGGUCCCUUUGAUUGGAGUUUGGCUGAUCCCAGACAGUAUUUUGGGCCAUUUUUACUGAUGAUCUUACCCCUUUCCAAAUCUGAGUUUUGAGGAAACUUACAGAUAACACGCUGUGCCACCCACACCCUGUCUAUCAGGUACCUCUUCUGUACCACCAGAGCCUCUUAGCCCCAUCUGUCUAGGACCUUUGCCCAUUUGUUCUGCUCGAGCUGCUAAUUGGUGACCAAUUUUGUGUGAGCUGCAACUGAUCUCAGGUGUGACAACCUGGCAGUGCCCUGCCCCAUGCCUAGGAAAGUGGUGUUUCCUUGUUCAUCCCAAGGCAUGUGACACCAGGGACCUGCUUGGAGACCAUGUAAAGACCCAGGAAAUAUAGAGUGUUAAUGUCCUGUGAAGAAAGCUUGACUACAGGGAGUUAAAAGCAGAUAGAUAAAUCCUCUUCACUUCUACCCUCUGUACAAACUGACCUGAGAUGCAAGUGAACUCACAGCCUUUCAGAAUCGGUCCUGCAAGAUGAAACAAUCAGUGGCAAGUGAUCCCAAGCAGGGCCCUGCUUAGUAAUGCACUCUAAGGUUUGCUCUUGCUCCUGCUUCCCUGCAAUAAACUCCAUAGUUUAGUAUUAGCACGUUAGCCUUUUCCUCAGGCUCUGUUUCCUGAGGAACCCACGCCAAGAC
RNAcentral lists this long non-coding RNA (1255 nucleotides) under Homo sapiens (human). RNAcentral's name for it is "HSALNT0148115". The record is from RNAcentral. Lineage: Eukaryota; Metazoa; Chordata; Mammalia; Primates; Hominidae.